Molecule: long non-coding RNA, 438 nt
Filed under: Vitis vinifera (wine grape)
Lineage: Eukaryota; Viridiplantae; Streptophyta; Magnoliopsida; Vitales; Vitaceae
Description: long non-coding RNA (VVIN_LNC003596)
Source: RNAcentral
AUAUAUAAAUCACAAUUUUUCCCGCCAUUAUCAACUAUUUUAACCGAAGUUUCAUUAUCAAUAAUAGGGCGUGUAUUCUCUUCCACAGCAACCUCGCUGCCAUUGGUCCCAGGAUCCACCGAGUCGUUUUCAGAAAUCUGCGAAAUGGGUUCUUGAAUUGACGUCUCCAACCCUCCUGGGUCAUUAACAAAUUCCGGUUCUUUUAUGGGUUUUGUCUUAUCUUCAACAGAAACCACGCUGCCAUUGAACCCAGAAUCGAACGACUCGUUCUCAGAAAUCUGCGAAAUAGGUUCUUGAAUUGACGGCUCCAACCCUCCUGGGUCGGUAACAAAUUGCGAUUUGUACAAGGGCUUUGUCUUCUCUUCUACAGAAACCUCGUCAUUGCCGCCACUGUUAAUGAACCCAAAAUCGACUGAGCCCUUUUUUGAAAUCUGCCAA